CGCGUAGGCGGCCGAUUAAGUCGGGGGUGAAAGCCUGUGGCGUCAACCACAGAAUUGCCUUCGAUACUGGUUGGCUUGAGACCGGAAGAGGACAGCGGAACUGCGAGUGUAGAGGUGAAAUUCGUAGAUAUUCGCAAGAACACCAGUGGCGAAGGCGGCUGUCUGGUCCGGUUCUGACGCUGAGGCGCGAAAGCGUGGGGAGCAAACA
Molecule: ribosomal RNA, 208 nt
Filed under: uncultured bacterium
Lineage: Bacteria
Description: partial 16S ribosomal RNA
Rfam family: Bacterial small subunit ribosomal RNA
Source: RNAcentral